Molecule: long non-coding RNA, 382 nt
Organism: Hibiscus syriacus
Lineage: Eukaryota; Viridiplantae; Streptophyta; Magnoliopsida; Malvales; Malvaceae
Exons: 3
Source: RefSeq, a predicted model, not a curated record
GAAUCAGACUAGGCAGCACUGGGUAGGAAACAAGAAGUCUGAAAAUCAGCCUCAACAGGUUCGAGAGCCAAACUAAACACUCGUUCAUGGUUAAACAUUUCUGGCUUUGCAGUUGGAAUGCGACUUAUGAAAGUUUACUUGGAAGCACGAAGCCGUUCCCUCAGCCUAUCCCUUUCCGAUAUGAUAGAUUUUCUUGUGGACGUCUGGGAGCAGGAAGGGUUGUAUGAUUGAACAACUCCAUAACUGGCUUUUGGAAGAUGAUUACAUAUUAAUAUCCAUCUUACUUUUGUAACAUUUUAAUUUGUCCGAUAGGGAAAACGCAUCAAGCCUCAUUUGUACGUAACUCUUACCAAUUUCAGGGUCUUGCUUGCCUUCGGUUUCA